AAGCUAUGCAGAGGAUGCUGUGACUUGGGGAUCACAGAGGGGCACAGAAACUGGUAGUGACUAGAGUGAAUACAGCCUUAAGGUAGACACUAUUGAUCACACCCAGCAGGAAAUGUGGGGCAGGAUUCAGCAUUCCUACAUCAAAAACAUGGAAAUCGUGAUCUGCAAAGUGCAGCUCUGCUGGCAGUUUCCAUGUCACCGGAUGAUAUUGGAUUAUGUUGGAUGUGGAUAAUGCUGGUUGACACAACCAGCUGCCGGUCACUGCUGCUAGUGCUGCUGACUUCCAAGGCUGACUUGCCAGAUACUAUGACUCCGACUGCUGUACCUCCCCUUAGAAGAAAAAAAUUCCAAAUCCAGACCAAACCAACAGAUCAACCCACAGAAAGAACAAAGAAAGGAAGAACAAAGACCAAUAUAAACUAUAAAGAUUGA
RNAcentral lists this long non-coding RNA (432 nucleotides) under Chinchilla lanigera (long-tailed chinchilla). Its description in RNAcentral is "lncRNA (ENSCLAG00000026222.1)". The record is from RNAcentral. Lineage: Eukaryota; Metazoa; Chordata; Mammalia; Rodentia; Chinchillidae.